This 81-nucleotide transfer RNA is filed under the name Plantactinospora mayteni. Its description in RNAcentral is "tRNA-Ser". The record is from RNAcentral. Lineage: Bacteria; Bacillati; Actinomycetota; Actinomycetes; Micromonosporales; Micromonosporaceae.
GAUGUCGUGGCCAGCGGUGCGGCCUCGACGGCCACGGCCGGUGUCGCGACGGCGGCCGGUGCCGGACCGGCCGACAUCGCC